Molecule: long non-coding RNA, 1140 nt
Filed under: Scleropages formosus (Asian bonytongue)
Lineage: Eukaryota; Metazoa; Chordata; Actinopteri; Osteoglossiformes; Osteoglossidae
Description: lncRNA (ENSSFOG00015028213.1)
Source: RNAcentral
GUUGAAUUUGGGUGCGUGACGUAACGGGGAAAAUAAGGGAACGAUUAUGUCUGCCAGAGAGGAGAAUGGCUGGGAGGGUUGCUAGGCUGGGUGAAGCGCAGGUCCUUGAGAAACUUCGGGAGCGCAACGGCCACCACCGCGUGUAUGUGUGGCGUCUCUCGCGAUCCCCUGCAUUCCCGCCCUACGGCAGUAGUUCUGGCCAUGAUUCCGAGCAGGGACAAGGCCCAGGAGCCCUCACUCUAACCACGAAGCUCUGUGGCCGACACCGCAGCAGUGCACAACCACGUCAGGGGACGAGUUGGGGUUAGACUGCGUGAAACCGGGACCGCAAAGUUCCUGUGCGGAACAGGGGCCGUUAAUGCGGCAGAUGCAUUCCACCUCAGUCCCUCCCUUUCUGACUCUUCCCCUCUCUGCGAGCCAACGUGCGUGUUCUCUCUCUCUCUCUCUCUCUCUCUCUCUCUCUUACGGAAGGAGCUCGGUGCCCCUAUCAUUCUACAGAACCUGGGAACCGGCAUGGCGAUUUUGUCAUUUCUCCUACAUACUAUUAUCGUUCGGGCCGUUGGAGCUGUGUUUGACGACCUGGUGAUUAAGAAGAACUGUUCGGAGCUGAGGAAGGGAGAGCGGUACCACAUCGCGACUGCAGAGAUACUGGGGUGGAGUCCAGACUCUUGCGAUCAGGAGUGGAACCUGCAGUGGCCCUUCCUGUGGUGCUGCUGCUGCUGCUGCUGCUAUCUGCUAUAGUUUUCAGAAGUUGCCAGAGGAAGGACCUUACACACUUGAGGCUGGCACCAUGGUGCUGUCUCAGUCCCAGCCUCCAAAUGCUUGAGAGGCCCAGCUGCCAGGUUCCAGAUGUGUGCAUCAGUCCCCCUCAACCAGCUGUUAGAUGGUGUCAGAGAGAGGAAUUUUAUCUAACCCAAGCAGUUUGACAAUGUAACAGAUCACUUAUGAUUGGUCCUCUACAUUUGUUUUCCCCAUCUUACAAAAGUAACAGUCAGACUCACCCACACAGCCCAGCUGUGUUUCACAUCCAUUUUUACAAUGUUUUCCUAAUCUUUUAACACUUUUAUGUGAACUGCAAAGUUUAAUUAUGCAGUAAAUAUAUAUAAUAAAUACUUUUAAAUGUCUCUGGGUGUUUAAGGU